Molecule: ribosomal RNA, 484 nt
Filed under: uncultured bacterium
Lineage: Bacteria
Description: partial 16S ribosomal RNA
Rfam family: Bacterial small subunit ribosomal RNA
Source: RNAcentral
AGUGAACGCUGGCGGCAGGCCUAACACAUGCAAGUCGAGCGGCAGCGCGGGGGCAACCCUGGCGGCGAGCGGCGGACGGGUGAGGAAUUCGUCGGAAUCUGCCUUUUUGUGGGGGAUAACGUAGGGAAACUUACGCUAAUACCGCAUACGUCCUACGGGAGAAAGUGGGGGACCGCAAGGCCUCACGCAGAAAGAUGAGCCGACGACCGAUUAGCUAGUUGGUGGGGUAAAGGCCCACCAAGGCGACCAUCGGUAGCUGGUCUGAGAGGAUGAUCAGCCACACUGGGACUGAGACACGGCCCAGACUCCUACGGGAGGCAGCAGUGGGGAAUAUUGGACAAUGGGCGCAAGCCUGAUCCAGCCAUGCCGCGUGUGUGAAGAAGGCCUUCGGGUUGUAAAGCACUUUUGUCCGGAAAGAAAUCCCUGAAGCUAAUACCUUCGGGGGAUGACGGUACCGGAAGAAUAAGCACCGGCUAACUUCGUG